UUCAAUAUCGCUUAACAUCUCAUACGAAAAAAAAGAAGAACAGUUGUUAUGACAGACUUCAGCAAAGCAUUUGAUUCUGUGAAGCACAAUAAACUUGUCAACAAGUUCAUCCAUCUUGGAGUGCACCCAUCUGUCAUGACGGGAAUAAUUAACUUUCUGAACAGUGGAGAGCAGUGUGUGUGUUUACUGUGGUGAAAUUUGUGACUGGAAAUAACUCCAUUGUGGAGUCCCACACGGAACUCGCAUUGGCCUAUGGGGAUUCCUCACACUCGUAGAUGCGCACUAGAAAAUUCCCCACUUGCAUGUACUCUCCAGGAUACUAAGAUGACCUGACAAUGUUGGGGAAAAGUAAUAAUCACACUCCUUCGGAAAUGCAAAACCACCUUGACAGGCUGGAAGAGUGGACCCUCAAGAAUCAUAUUAGACUGAAUGUUGAUAAAUGUGCAUUCCUUUAACGGAGCCCCCUGUACUAAGUUUGUUUUGUUCUUGAUGUUUUCAAGUAUUAUCUUCCCGUCCAUUCUUCCCCCCCCCCGGUAUUUUUAACUGUGCAGCUGGCUGUUGGGUAACACAUUGUUGGUCAUUGUUAUACUGGUAUCUCAGGAAUUCUUUUCAGACAUGGGGGGUGAUGUAUUCAGUGACAAUAGGCUGGAAUGUGUAUAGGGACUGGACUUGUUGAGGGGGUACCCCUGUCCCAUUUCGUGCCUGGUAUAGAUGUGUUAGGUAACAAUAGUCUAGAGUGUGUAUAGCACUUGGAGAAGUUGUUGGGAUUCAUGUACAUGUACCCCUCAGUCUCAUUUCUUGCUGGAUAUAGCUUUUUUGAAGCCCUGAGAAUGGGAGGUGUAUGACAAAAAGGGCACAGAGAUAGAUCAAGGAGUGUUGGGUUGGUUUGUGUUACCACCAUAGCCAACAGACCUGUGGAAUCUGCCACCGCAGGUUACAAGUAACGGGGUAGACAUGAGAGAUACCCAACUUACAUUGUACCACAAGUAAUUUUUUUCUGUGACGAUAUUUCUGACAGGUCUUCACUGCAGCUACGCCUGAAGCUUGAGACAAAACCUUGACGGAAUUACCAUGACCUGUUUGGAGAGUACAGACCUGCAAUAGUAGCAAGCCAAUCUGAGCUGAGUUGCUAAGUUGGUCCCCUAGAGAACAGUCUGAGACACAGGCCGGACACGUUGUUACAGGGCAUCUACUGCUGCCUGGGGCUCUCGAAGGUGAUGCAUUCUCAACGACUUCAGGAAACUCCCCUGACGCCAUGGAUAAUUGCAGAAAGGAGUAGCAAGGUAUUGGCAGCACACUGUGACUGUAUAGCAGGCAUUGGGGAGACAUGUACACAUGUCAGUGCAUUGGUGUUCUACCGGUACAUUGACAUGAAAGUCCACAUCAGAGAGUCAAAAACGGUGACCCAAGAGCCAGCUUAUUGGAAGUUACCAGCAUCAGUAAAAGAAGCUGCUUGAUCUCCCUGCGUGUAAAAUAGACUUUACUUUGGCCAAAACUAAGAAGAAGCAGUUGGAUGUACUUGUAGAUGGAUCUGUCAACACAACUGAUGGUGGUGAUGUCAAACAAAAACCUCAGGUACCAGCCCCAACAAAAGACGAACUUGACUUGCUCUACAAAGAACUGAAUGAGGCAGAUGCAAAGUCUGCAAUUCUCACUGUUCUUCCUAACUACAGCCAUAGAUUUCAUCCCGAGGGAAGCAAC
Molecule: long non-coding RNA, 1701 nt
Filed under: Acanthaster planci (crown-of-thorns starfish)
Lineage: Eukaryota; Metazoa; Echinodermata; Asteroidea; Valvatida; Acanthasteridae
Description: uncharacterized LOC110989623
Source: RNAcentral